GUGAUCGAAAGUUAAGCGCAAUCAUAAGGGUGGGCCAUGUAAAAAUAUGCAGAAGAUUGAGCCCCAGUCAUUUUUUUGCGUUAAAAAUUUCCGCGCAAAGAACAAGAUAUCUGUUUUUUGGGCUAAGUACCGGAAAAAAUUUUUACCUAAAAAAGUUAUCGACGGGGGGGGGGGAAUUGGAAAAGGGGUGGGUCAUAAUUUUUCAGCACCAAUUUAAGGGUGGGCUACACAUUUUCGUGCACCUAUUAAGGGGUGGGCUACCAAAACUGCAGACACCAAAAUAUAUGAUUUUCCCAGCUUUACUUUAUGACCGGUCCCUAAAAGCACAAUUCUGAUUUCACAAAAAGGAAAGGAAAGGGUGUGGGUGCAAUGAAUUGCACUCCUUGGGGUUGUUAGGCUCUUAGUCUCUUAAAAGCCAUUGAUUUGUUACACUAGAAGGUAACGCGGUUUAAGAAUAACCACUGGAAUUUGGAAAAUUGGAGGAUAGAAUAUGGAAGGGAUGUACCCUCUAUGGACAUGGAGUGAUGGAGAUGCAUGUUAUUGUGUCACAAAUGUAAAAUGCUGUACAGUUAGACUAGUAUUGUGACAUGUUGGACUU
Non-coding RNA from Paramuricea clavata, 598 nucleotides. Lineage: Eukaryota; Metazoa; Cnidaria; Anthozoa; Malacalcyonacea; Plexauridae. The record is from the annotation of a GenBank genome assembly.